Cinara cedri is the source of this 531-nucleotide non-coding RNA. The record is from the annotation of a GenBank genome assembly. NCBI's taxonomy places the organism in Eukaryota, Metazoa, Arthropoda, Insecta, Hemiptera, Aphididae.
GCCCUCUCCAUAAUAUAGUACUAUAUAUUUAACGAAAUAACAGAUAGCGAAAAUUAUUUUAAAAAAAAAAUUAGUGAAAUUUUAUCAGGAGGUAAAAUUUUUCUGGAGAUAAUUUACCGGGAGAGGUAAAAUUUCCUUCGGUAAAUAAUCGUGGUACACGGUAUCAGUGGCGUGACUACCGCAGGGGCAACCGAGGCAGACGCCACGGGGAGUAAAAUUCUUUUGGGGGACUUAUAUGCGCGAUAGAGCCCUAGUGUUUGUCAAUUAUUUGGUAUAGAACAUUUAUGAAUAAACUUUAAUCAAUAAAAAACAUGUGUAUGUGAAACAGGCCUAGCAUAGCUAUUAUAGCUGUUCACGCCAAUUUAAUUGAUUGCGAUUCAUGUGUCACCUGCAGAGAUAAAAUUGAUUUUACUUAUUUUUAAAUUAAAACGAAAUUUUUAAUGUAAUAAAGGGUAAUAAUGUAAUGUUGGGUUAUGUUUUCUAAAAAAAAAAAAAAAAAAACAAAAUUAUAAUAAUAAAAAUAUUAUUUUA